RNAcentral lists this ribosomal RNA (548 nucleotides) under uncultured bacterium. RNAcentral's name for it is "bacterial SSU rRNA". It matches the Rfam family "Bacterial small subunit ribosomal RNA", at positions 355 to 895 of the family's 1533-position model. The record is from RNAcentral.
UAGGGAAUCUUCGGCAAUGGACGGAAGUCUGACCGAGCAACGCCGCGUGAGUGAAGAAGGUUUUCGGAUCGUAAAGCUCUGUUGUAAGAGAAGAACGAGUGUGAGAGUGGAAAGUUCACACUGUGACGGUAUCUUACCAGAAAGGGACGGCUAACUACGUGCCAGCAGCCGCGGUAAUACGUAGGUCCCGAGCGUUGUCCGGAUUUAUUGGGCGUAAAGCGAGCGCAGGCGGUUAGAUAAGUCUGAAGUUAAAGGCUGUGGCUUAACCAUAGUACGCUUUGGAAACUGUUUAACUUGAGUGCAAGAGGGGAGAGUGGAAUUCCAUGUGUAGCGGUGAAAUGCGUAGAUAUAUGGAGGAACACCGGUGGCGAAAGCGGCUCUCUGGCUUGUAACUGACGCUGAGGCUCGAAAGCGUGGGGAGCAAACAGGAUUAGAUACCCUGGUAGUCCACGCCGUAACGAUGAGUGCUAGAUGUUAGACCCUUUCCGGGGUUUAGUGCCGCAGCUAACGCAUUAAGCACUCCGCCUGGGGAGUACGACCGCAAGGUU